Molecule: ribosomal RNA, 255 nt
Filed under: uncultured bacterium
Lineage: Bacteria
Description: partial 16S ribosomal RNA
Rfam family: Bacterial small subunit ribosomal RNA
Source: RNAcentral
UACGUAGGGACCAAGCGUUGUUCGGAUUUACUGGGCGUAAAGGGCGCGUAGGCGGCAAUUCAAGUCAUCUGUGAAAUCUCCGGGCUUAACUCGGAAUGGUCAGGUGAUACUGCUUUGCUAGAGUGCAGAAGGGGCAAUCGGAAUUCUUGGUGUAGCGGUGAAAAUGCGUAGAUAUCAAGAGGAACACCUGAGGUGAAGACGGGUUGCUGGGCUGACACGUGACGCUGAGGCGCGAAAGCGUGGGGAGCGAACAGG